AACCGCWUWGAGCAAAACGAAUGGGCCUUCGAAUUCCGAUGAUGAAACAAUUCAGUGUCGAUAGCGUACGUGCCGAUUGAGUAUGUGUUUGCUUUUAGCUUCACUGCUUGGUAUGGUUGCAAGCGUUGUUGAUGCGCAUUUUGUUUUGUCGGUAGGGCGUCGUAACCAGUAGAGUUAAUAAAAAAGCGUUUUGAGGGCUGAUGUAUUGGUAGCAUUUGAGUAUUUAUACUCGAGUGUAAUUAGUGCUUGGUCUGAAUGAAUCGCUACUUUACUGUGGAGCAGUCUUGUAUUUUUGCGCAAGUAGACCGGAAGGUAUAAAUGCUAUGUUGUUGAUCCACUUUUAGUGGGCUGCGAUGUAGUGUUUUGCUGGUAGCUGGAUUACUUUUGCUUGUACUUGACGGUUUACGGCGAGUAGGUCGGUAACCCAUUCGACCCGUCUUGAAACACGGACCAAGGAGUGUAACAUGUACGCGAGUCAUUGAGAUCCUGUACCUCAAAGGCGAAAUGAAAUGUGAAGGUUAAUUUAUUUUAACUGAGACGUGAUCUGUUCCUCUUUGUAGUAACGGCGCAACGUCCACCCGUUCAACGUGAACUUGUUCACAGAGCGGAGUGAGAGCGUACAUGUUGCCACCCGAAAGAUGGUGACCUAUGCCUGGGCAAGAUGAAGCCAGAGGAAACUCUGGUGGAGGUCUGAAGCGAUUCUGACGUGCAAAUCGAUCGUCUGACCUGGGUAUAGGGGCGAAAGACUCAUCGAACCAUCUAGUAGCUG
This 769-nucleotide ribosomal RNA is filed under the name Trichouropoda alascae. RNAcentral describes it as "eukaryotic LSU rRNA". It matches the Rfam family "Eukaryotic large subunit ribosomal RNA", at positions 403 to 953 of the family's 3401-position model. The record is from RNAcentral. Lineage: Eukaryota; Metazoa; Arthropoda; Arachnida; Mesostigmata; Trematuridae.